RNAcentral lists this ribosomal RNA (584 nucleotides) under Escherichia coli. Its description in RNAcentral is "partial 23S ribosomal RNA". It matches the Rfam family "Bacterial large subunit ribosomal RNA", at positions 2251 to 2830 of the family's 2925-position model. The record is from RNAcentral. Lineage: Bacteria; Pseudomonadati; Pseudomonadota; Gammaproteobacteria; Enterobacterales; Enterobacteriaceae.
ACAGUGUCUGGUGGGUAGUUUGACUGGGGCGGUCUCCUCCUAAAGAGUAACGGAGGAGCACGAAGGUUGGCUAAUCCUGGUCGGACAUCAGGAGGUUAGUGCAAUGGCAUAAGCCAGCUUGACUGCGAGCGUGACGGCGCGAGCAGGUGCGAAAGCAGGUCAUAGUGAUCCGGUGGUUCUGAAUGGAAGGGCCAUCGCUCAACGGAUAAAAGGUACUCCGGGGAUAACAGGCUGAUACCGCCCAAGAGUUCAUAUCGACGGCGGUGUUUGGCACCUCGAUGUCGGCUCAUCACAUCCUGGGGCUGAAGUAGGUCCCAAGGGUAUGGCUGUUCGCCAUUUAAAGUGGUACGCGAGCUGGGUUUAGAACGUCGUGAGACAGUUCGGUCCCUAUCUGCCGUGGGCGCUGGAGAACUGAGGGGGGCUGCUCCUAGUACGAGAGGACCGGAGUGGACGCAUCACUGGUGUUCGGGUUGUCAUGCCAAUGGCACUGCCCGGUAGCUAAAUGCGGAAGAGAUAAGUGCUGAAAGCAUCUAAGCACGAAACUUGCCCCGAGAUGAGUUCUCCCUGACUCCUUGAGAGUCCUG